UUUCAGGGACAUGGCGCGCAUCGGCAUCUCCUCUGCUGCACAUCAGAACAAGAUCCUGACCAGCGUCCAGACUAUGCUGUCCCAAAUGCAACACAUCCAAGGCAGAAUGGUUCCUGUCUGAGAGGCGCUAACAAAGGAAUCAAAGACACUUUUUUCCUACAAAAGAACGAAUACGUAAUAAAAAAGAAUAAAUAUAAAAAAAAAAAAACUGGCAAAUAAACUAUGAAGAAGUAGUUUACCUCAUCAACGCACUUUAAAUUGGAUUUAAAAAGUAAAGAAGACCUUGAUGAAGAAAAAGGGGCUUCUACGUUUUUUUCAAAAACCCGACCUUUACUUUGCUCUCUUUGUUGUUUUGGAGAACGGAAAAACUUUUAGGAUUUACGGGGAGGGGGGGGCAGCUGAAAAUGUGCUUCCGAGAGGCUGAUCUGGAGUGCCUUUAGGUCUGAGAAGAUGGAGGGAGGCGGCGGGAUGUCACUUCCUCCUCUCUCUCUGGAACAAUCCGAGGAGCAAACUUUCUGAAUUUCCUGACUGUGUUUAUUGUAAAUGACUUGUUUGUGCGGGACCGGCGCCCCCCCCAGGCCGCCGUCGCUCUGGUUUUUCUCUCUCGGCCGGAUCUGUUCCAUCUGAUCUCAGAAAGCGGAGGAUUCUACCUGAGGUUGAGGACUGCAUGGUUUUUAUUUUGUUUGUUUCUCUCCGGCCUCCUUUUUUCUCCCAGAAUGCACCAUUUUCUGUCCCUCGGGGCGUCAAAGAGAACGUCUUUGAUCUUCCCUAACCCCUGUCUUCCCCAAAAAACGCCAAGCCCUCCUUCCUACACCUCAGAUAAACACACUUUGGAUUCUUCCAUCCGGGUUUCAGGCCCUCAGGAGCCGCAGACUCUUUGCUCGUUAUGAAUCGUUCAAUAAACCAGAAACAGACGAUGAAAUCUACGGAGAAUGUGGAGAGAAACGGAAUCAUCGGCAACCACAAAACGGAGGGUUUCCUGGAGCUGUCGUCUAGACGCUGCCGUCCAUCUAAAAAAACAACCCGGGGGGGAACGGCCCGGCUUCCCGCUCUUCCUCUCCGUCCUCCUGCUUCCUCAUCGUCCUGCUUCCGCCUCACCUCUCCGCCGCGGAGGACGACUCUGUCAGCCGCGUCCGAGUCGGCCGCCCCGACGCCGGAGUAGCCGCCCCCGAUGGAGCUCAAAUGAAUGAAAUAAAACUUUUUUUUUUUUUUAAAGAGACAAGAAGAAGAAUGUAAGAAAACCUAGAUUACAGACUGAAAACUUUUUCUUCCGUUGAUCUCUUUGCAUGUGACGCGACGAAGGUUUGGUGUGAGAAUGGGAGCGGCGUGCGCGUGCGUCUGUCUUCUCCGAUUGUGAAAGUCUUCUCUGUUAUUGUGUUUGUUGUUUUCAUGCCACCGUGGAGAAGGGAGCGAGAUUAAAGAGUUGUAUAGUUUUUGAUAUGAAAAAGGGAAAAGAAAAACUGGACUAUAGUUUUUUUUUUUUUGUGGCUCACUUCCAGCAGCGUUUAUUGAACGCACCCCGUCUGGUGCGGCCCGGAGGGACGCCACCGGGGAAAAAAAUGUCUCCGGGAAAUUCAGUUGGAGUUUGGAAUAUCGUGGAUUGUGGAGGAAACGGUCAGAAGUGACGCACCUGGACUGAAACAAAAGGAGGGGGUCUAAAAAUAAAAAUGAUUUGUUGUUUAAUUUUCCAGAGUUCAUCUUCCAGCUACAGGUUGAACACAACGGACUUUCAUCCUUUUCUUCCUUUUGUUUAUAAAGUGUAAUUAUGUCAAAUGAGAGACGCUUCAUGUACACUAAUACGACACCUCCGUCCUUAAUACCGCUCUGCAAUCCUUUCUCUAGUUUUCCUUUGGGGGGGGGGGGGGGGUUUGUUUAAAAAGGACCUGUUUGGAUAUAUGCAAGACAUGCUUGGAAGGAGAAGGAAACCAGAAUGUACUGUAAAAUACUUUUUUCCUUUACUCAAAUGUCAAAUAAGUAAAAAAAAAAAGAGAAAAAAAUGAAAAUAA
Molecule: long non-coding RNA, 2006 nt
Organism: Cyprinodon variegatus (sheepshead minnow)
Lineage: Eukaryota; Metazoa; Chordata; Actinopteri; Cyprinodontiformes; Cyprinodontidae
Exons: 2
Source: RefSeq, a predicted model, not a curated record